RNAcentral lists this ribosomal RNA (1325 nucleotides) under metagenome. RNAcentral's name for it is "bacterial LSU rRNA". It matches the Rfam family "Bacterial large subunit ribosomal RNA", at positions 1610 to 2925 of the family's 2925-position model. The record is from RNAcentral.
AAAAAAAGCCACUAAGCUUCAGCUACACACGACCGUACCGCAAACCGACACUGGUGCGCGAGAUGAGUAUUCUAAGGCGCUUGAGAGAACUCAGGAGAAGGAACUCGGCAAAUUGACACCGUAACUUCGGAAGAAGGUGUGCCUUUAGUAGGUGAACCUGUACAAGGGGAGCCCAAUGAGGUUGCAAAAAAUCGGUGGCUGCGACUGUUUAAUAAAAACACAGCACUCUGCAAACACGAAAGUGGACGUAUAGGGUGUGACGCCUGCCCGGUGCUGGAAGAUUAAAUGAUGGGGUGCAAGCUCUUGAUUGAAGUCCCAGUAAACGGCGGCCGUAACGAUAACGGUCCUAAGGUAGCGAAAUUCCUUGUCGGGUAAGUUCCGACCUGCACGAAUGGCGUAACGAUGGCCACACUGUCUCCUCCUGAGACUCAGCGAAGUUGAAAUGUUUGUGAUGAUGCAAUCUCCCCGCGGAAAGACGGAAAGACCCCAUGAACCUUUACUGUAGCUUUGUAUUGGACUUUGAACAGAUCUGUGUAGGAUAGGUGGGAGGCUUUGAAGUGUGGUCGCUAGAUCGCAUGGAGCCAACGUUGAAAUACCACCCUGGUGUGUUUGAGGUUCUAACCUAGGCCCGUAAUCCGGGUCGGGGACAGUGCAUGGUAGGCAGUUUGACUGGGGCGGUCUCCUCCCAAAGCGUAACGGAGGAGUUCGAAGGUACGCUAGGUACGGUCGGACAUCGUGCUAAUAGUGCAAUGGCAUAAGCGUGCUUAACUGCGAGACUGACAAGUCGAGCAGAUGCGAAAGCAGGACAUAGUGAUCCGGUGGUUCUGUAUGGAAGGGCCAUCGCUCAACGGAUAAAAGGUACUCUGGGGAUAACAGGCUGAUACCGCCCAAGAGUUCAUAUCGACGGCGGUGUUUGGCACCUCGAUGUCGGCUCAUCUCAUCCUGGGGCUGUAGCCGGUCCCAAGGGUAUGGCUGUUCGCCAUUUAAAGAGGUACGUGAGCUGGGUUUAAAACGUCGUGAGACAGUUUGGUCCCUAUCUUCCGUGGGCGCUGCAGAUUUGAGGAAGCCUGCUCCUAGUACGAGAGGACCGGAGUGGACACACCUCUGGUGUAUCGGUUGUCACGCCAGUGGCAUUGCCGAGUAGCUAUGUGUGGAAGAGAUAACCGCUGAAAGCAUCUAAGCGGGAAACUCGUUUCAAGAUGAGAUCUGCCGGGGCCUUGAGCCCCCUAAAGAGUCGUUCAAGACCAGGACGUUGAUAGGUCGGGUGUGGAAGCGCAGUAAUGCGUUAAGCUAACCGAUACUAAUUGCUCGUGCGGCUUGACCCC